This 289-nucleotide small RNA is filed under the name Kaustia mangrovi. RNAcentral's name for it is "5' ureB small RNA". It matches the Rfam family "5' ureB small RNA". The record is from RNAcentral. Lineage: Bacteria; Pseudomonadati; Pseudomonadota; Alphaproteobacteria; Hyphomicrobiales; Parvibaculaceae.
CUGCUGCGGCGAGAUGAAGUGGACGUGCGCAUCGAUGCCGCCCGCCGUCAGGAUGAGGUGCUCUCCCGAGAUGGCAUCGGUGCCAGGCCCAAGCGCGAGCCCGCGGGUCACUCCCGACAUGGUCGAGGGAUUGCCGGCCUUACCGAUUCCGCAAAUCAGCCCGUCCUUGAUGCCGACGUCGGCCUUGAUCACGCCCUGCACGGCGUCGAGGAUGGUGACGUUGGUGAUGACAAGGUCGGGCGCACCGGCCGCGCUGGUCAGCUCAUUGUCGUAACCCAUGCCGUCGCGC